GAUGUUCAGAGUUGUACUAAUUACCAUGGAAUUAAGCUGAUGAGCCAUACAAUGAAGCUAUGGGAGAGAGUCAUUGAGCACCGCUUAAGAAGAAUGACAAGUGUGACCAAAAAUCAGUUUGGUUUCAUGCCUGGGAGGUCGACCAUGGAAGCCAUUUUCUUGGUACGACAACUUAUGGAGAGAUAUAGGGAGCAAAAGAAGGACUUGCAUAUUGUGUUCAUUGACUUGGAGAAGGCCUAUGAUAAGAUACCGCGGAAUGUCAUGUGGUGGGCCUUGGAGAAACACAAAGUCCCAGCAAAGUACAUUACCCUCAUCAAGGACAUGCACAAUAAUGUUGUGACAAGUAUUCGAACAAGUGAUGUCGACACCGAUGACUUCCCGAUUACGAUAGGACUGCAUCAGGGGUCAGCUUUGAGCCCUUAUCUUUUUGCAUUGGUGAUGGAUGAGGUCACAAGGGGUAUACAAGGAGAUAUCCCAUGGUGUAUGCUCUUUGCGGAUGAUGUGGUGCUAGUUGACGAUAGUCGGACGGGGGUAAAUAGGAAGUUAGAGUUAUGGAGACAAACCUUGGAAUCGAAAGGGUUUAGGCUUAGUAGAACUAAAACC
RNAcentral lists this ribosomal RNA (603 nucleotides) under Triticum aestivum (bread wheat). Its description in RNAcentral is "partial small subunit ribosomal RNA". Lineage: Eukaryota; Viridiplantae; Streptophyta; Magnoliopsida; Poales; Poaceae. The record is from RNAcentral.